This 778-nucleotide ribosomal RNA is filed under the name Pseudomonas sp. Its description in RNAcentral is "bacterial SSU rRNA". It matches the Rfam family "Bacterial small subunit ribosomal RNA", at positions 71 to 845 of the family's 1533-position model. The record is from RNAcentral. Lineage: Bacteria; Pseudomonadati; Pseudomonadota; Gammaproteobacteria; Pseudomonadales; Pseudomonadaceae.
GAGAGAAGCUUGCUUCUCUUGAGAGCGGCGGACGGGUGAGUAAUGCCUAGGAAUCUGCCUGGUAGUGGGGGAUAACGUUCGGAAACGGACGCUAAUACCGCAUACGUCCUACGGGAGAAAGCAGGGGACCUUCGGGCCUUGCGCUAUCAGAUGAGCCUAGGUCGGAUUAGCUAGUUGGUGAGGUAAUGGCUCACCAAGGCGACGAUCCGUAACUGGUCUGAGAGGAUGAUCAGUCACACUGGAACUGAGACACGGUCCAGACUCCUACGGGAGGCAGCAGUGGGGAAUAUUGGACAAUGGGCGAAAGCCUGAUCCAGCCAUGCCGCGUGUGUGAAGAAGGUCUUCGGAUUGUAAAGCACUUUAAGUUGGGAGGAAGGGUUGUAGAUUAAUACUCUGCAAUUUUGACGUUACCGACAGAAUAAGCACCGGCUAACUCUGUGCCAGCAGCCGCGGUAAUACAGAGGGUGCAAGCGUUAAUCGGAAUUACUGGGCGUAAAGCGCGCGUAGGUGGUUUGUUAAGUUGGAUGUGAAAUCCCCGGGCUCAACCUGGGAACUGCAUUCAAAACUGACUGACUAGAGUAUGGUAGAGGGUGGUGGAAUUUCCUGUGUAGCGGUGAAAUGCGUAGAUAUAGGAAGGAACACCAGUGGCGAAGGCGACCACCUGGACUAAUACUGACACUGAGGUGCGAAAGCGUGGGGAGCAAACAGGAUUAGAUACCCUGGUAGUCCACGCCGUAAACGAUGUCAACUAGCCGUUGGAAGCCUUGAGCUUUUAGUG